RNAcentral lists this ribosomal RNA (2991 nucleotides) under Triticum aestivum (bread wheat). RNAcentral describes it as "partial small subunit ribosomal RNA". The record is from RNAcentral. Lineage: Eukaryota; Viridiplantae; Streptophyta; Magnoliopsida; Poales; Poaceae.
AUGCCCGCGAUAACAAACAGGGUGAGGACUGAGGACAAAGGAGAAAGGAUGUUCAACGGAAUGGUGACUACCAGUAUCACGUUGCCGUUGCCGGCGUCGUCGACCUCCAGUAUCGCGUUGCCGUCGCCGGCCGGGCUGGAGGCCCCGAUCGGUGAUGACGGUGCCUACGUGCAGGAAGAAGGCCAGAUCGCUGGAGGGCUGGCCGCCAGUGCCGCGCUGUCGCCACUGCUGGCUAGCCCCAUCUUGGAUGAAGGGGGUGCCCGCACCGUACUGGCACAGAAUGCCUCUCUGCAUGCAUUCCUAGAUAGUUACCUACAAUUCAGACACCGGUGGUAUGAUUUGCCACACAGGGGCCCCAAAGGGACAGUUGCUGGUUUGGUUGUUGGGGAGCUUGAGCUUUGCCGCCGUGUCUUUAUGGUCCUCUACCGCAUAUCAUCAAACAAGGAUCCUGGAUCAGGCCCGGGUGAGUCCCUUAGUGCGAAGGAGCAUACAGCCCUUCUACAGCAGAAAAAACUGCUUGAUCUACCAAAGUUGUUGGAUAUAUGUGCUAUAUAUGGGCAUGACAAUGGGGAGUUGACAAGUUCACUGGUUACAAAUGCAAUCGUUGUGCAGCCCAAUUUACUCGAUGGCAUCAAUACUGUCCUUCCCCAAUUCCUGGACAUUUUCCACACAAUGCAGGACAGAUGCAUGGACUCACUACAGGUGCUCAGUUCACCUGGACCAAAUGUCAGUGGACAUACCCAGCUUCAGAAAGAUUUCUCGGAGGUGCUGGAUUUUGUUAAUGAUGCAAUUAUUACUCUGGAUGCCUUUGCUGAUGCUUACCAGCCUGCUGCAUUAUCAUUAUGUGCUUCUUUUGAAAGAGGGGAUCGAGCUGAGGAAUUGUUGAACACCCUUGCAAGUUUGUAUGAUUUGUUGUUACCAUCUUUGCUUCAGGGGUUUCAAGUUAUGUCCAGUUCCCAAAGCAAUGGAGAGACUUCGUCUGAAAGUAUACUUAAUGACAUAGUUCUUGGCAUAAGAAUGCUAUCAAAGAGAGCUGUUGGAUUUGGUUGGAGAUUAUUAGAGUUCUGCUAUUUAAAUGAUCAACUUAAGGAGGAGGAUGUCCAAGCAUCUACUAAGAUGUUUCCAGCUAAAGUCGAAGAUCCUAUGAUCAGGGGAGAAAUAAUAGUUCAAAUACUCAAGGAUAUCAAUAGAGAAGCUACUUACUCUUCUAAAGGGAAUCCUGGAAAGACGUUUCUGCAAGCUCUUCAAAAGGAAUUUCAGUUGAUGAGCCGGAUUGGCGAUAUUCGGAACAAAGGAUGGAUAUACAUGGAGGAUGAGCAGUUCCAGUUCAUAUCACGUCUGUGCGGAUCCACUGUCACUUCUUGGAAUAGUGUCCCUGAUUUGCCAAUAUCUUCCCAUGGUGGUGAACUUCAACAGAAGAAUGAGGAAGCUGCUGUCAUUGAGUCCAAGAUUAGUCAGAUAAGGGACCUUCUUCCUCAUUAUGGGAAAGGUUUCCUUGCCGCUUGCUUGGAAGCCUACAACCAGAACCCUGAGGAAGUUAUCCAAAGGAUACUAGAUGGAACACUUCAUCAGGAUCUUCUAGCUUUAGAUACCUCGUUACAAGAGAUGCCACAACAACAAUCUGCACCUAGUGUUGCGAAAGAUAAAGGCAAAGGCGUACUAGUGGAAACUAUUCCUAAUAUUGCAAAUAAACCCCAUAAAGUUGAAGCCCAAUCUUCUUCAGUCUCAUCAGCAUCCAAGGCUCCUAUCUCAUAUUUAUCUUCAGUUUCAUCAGCAUCCAAGGCUCCUGCCUCAUCUGUAUCAUCAGUUCCACAAGGUAGAUUUACAAGGAAGACCAAUGAUGAUCUGCCCAACUACGCAGUUCUAGACUCGCAAAAAGCCAAAGAUGCUGUUAAGUCAGCUGUCCUUGAUUCCCAGUAUGAGUACGAGGAUGAGUAUGAUGACUCGUUUGAUGAUCUUGGCUUCAGCGUGGCGGAGUCAAGUUACGAGGAAGCAGAGGGCGCCAAUGAUGCUGAGGGUUCCUCCAGUGGCCCACGUUGGGCUUCACAGAAGAAGCCACAGUUUUAUGUCAAGGACGGGAAGAACUACAGCUACAAGGUUGCUGGUUCAGUUGCUGUAUCAAAUGCUCGAGAGGCGGCAGUCUUAAACAAUACUCAGAAAGAUACAAUUCAUGGUCUUGGUCGUGGUGGAAAUUUACCUAUUGGUGGAAAUUUACCUAUGGGAGUUCCCAACAGGCAACAUAGAGUUGUGGAGGAAGAGGAGGGUGGUCAUGCAAACAGCUUCAGCAGAGGAGGCUCGAAUCCCCGUGGUCGGGGCAGGGGCAGAAGAGGUGGCUGGGAUCAGGGUAACCCAGCGGAGGAGAAUGAGAAUUCUAGUGGCCCACAAAGUUUUGGCCGUGAUGGAAGAAGAGGGGGCAGGAACCAUGGCAACCUACCAGAGGUAAACUAUGGUCAGCAAGGUUUUGGCCGUGGUGCAAGAAGAGGGACCAGGGAUGAGGACAACCGGCCAGAAAUGAACAACCAGCAAGGUUUUGGUCGUGGCGCAAGAAGAGGGGCCAGGGAGGAGGACAACCGGCCAGAGGUAAACAACCAUCCUAAUCCCCAGCAAGGUUUUGGUCGUGGCGCAAGAAGGGGGGACAGGGACGAGGACAACAGGCCAGAAGGGAAUAACCAUGGCCAGCAAGGUUUCGGUCGUGGUGGAAGAAGAGGGGACNNNNNNNNNNNNNNNNNNNNNNNNNNNNNNNNNNNNNNNNNNNNNNNNNNNNNNNNNNNNNNNNNNNNNNNNNNNNNNNNNNNNNNNNNNNNNNNNNNNNNNNNNNNNNNNNUAUGCUUGACAGUGGCCGAGGCCAUGGCGUCUCCAGAGGAGAAUUAUGAAGGCAAGGGCGACAAUCAUGGCGUCACCAAGGAGCCAUCCAUCCUUGAUGAUGCCACGCCCUUUGCUUCGCUCAUUCACUUCCAUCACGUCUCCAUUCUACUCUACAGGAAGGAAUGA